UACAGAGGGUGCAAGCGUUGUUCGGAAUUACUGGGCGUAAAGGGCGCGUAGGCGGUUUACCAAGUCAGAUGUGAAAGCCCGGGGCUCAACCCCGGAAGUGCAUUUGAAACUGGUAGGCUAGAGUGCAGUAGAGAAUGGCGGAAUUCCCAGUGGAGAGGUGAAAUUCGUAGAUAUUGGGAGGAACACCGGUGGCGAAGGCGGCCAUUUGGGCUGUAACUGACGCUGAGGCGCGAAAGCGUGGGUAGCAAAC
Molecule: ribosomal RNA, 250 nt
Filed under: uncultured bacterium
Lineage: Bacteria
Description: partial 16S ribosomal RNA
Rfam family: Bacterial small subunit ribosomal RNA
Source: RNAcentral